UGGUCAUUACCAAGGCUUUUAGAAUGCAAUUUCUCAUUUGUGGUGGACAUGACAAUAAAAUAAACUUCCCACUAGGAUUUCUAUCUGCUACCUUGCUCGUAAUCAGCCUUUUGGGAACAUUU
Cynocephalus volans (Philippine flying lemur) is the source of this 122-nucleotide small nucleolar RNA. RefSeq annotates it as small nucleolar RNA SNORA32. The transcript has a single exon. Lineage: Eukaryota; Metazoa; Chordata; Mammalia; Dermoptera; Cynocephalidae. The record is from RefSeq and is a predicted model, not a curated record.